RNAcentral lists this long non-coding RNA (1892 nucleotides) under Anser cygnoides (Swan goose). Its description in RNAcentral is "lncRNA (ENSACDG00005011510.1)". Lineage: Eukaryota; Metazoa; Chordata; Aves; Anseriformes; Anatidae. The record is from RNAcentral.
UGGAGGUGGUGGGGACCCCCCCGAAGGGAGGGGGGGGGCGAUGUGGUCAUGGAAAAAAUUUGGGUUGGAGACGCCCGAGCUCAAUGGGGGCUUUGUUCAGUGCUGCGGCGCCAGGGCCCCCGGGCGGGAGGUGCCGCCGGCCCCCCCCAGCUCUGCGGCGUGCCACGCCUCGGCAGGCCCCCGGGGGGUGUGUGUAAAGGCGUGCAAUGCUGUGUAAAGCCGUGCAAAGGCAUGCGAUGCCAUGCAAAACUGUGCAAUGCUGUGGAAAACUGUGGAACGCCGUGCAAAGCCGUGCAAUACUGUGCAAAACUGUUCACAAUGCCGUGCAAAGCCAUGUGUGGUCGUGCAAAGCAGUGCAAGGCUAUGUAACGUGGUGCGAUGCCACAUAUAGUCCUGCAAUGCUUUGAAACGCGGCGUGAAAUGCCAUGCAAAGCCACGCAGUGCCGUGCAAAGUGGAGCAAAGCUGUGCAAAACCACAGCACGAAAUGCUGUGCAGAGCCAUGCAACGCUGUGCAAGGUGGUACAACAACAUGCUGAGCCGUGGCACGCGUUGCUGUGCAAAGCCGUGUGAUGCCGUGCAAAGCGGUACGAUGGCAUGUAAAACUGUGGCAUGAAACACCGUGCAAAGCCAUGCAAUGCCAUGAGACGCCAUGCAAAGCCGUGCAAUGUCAUGCGAAGCGGUACAACGUCAUGCAAAACUGUGCCAUGAAACGCCGUGCAAAGCCACACGAUGCUGUGCAAAGCCGUGCCAAGCUGUGCAAAGCCACAGCUGGCCGUGCAGCGCCAGGCCCCGCGGGGCUGUGCUGAGCCGUGCAGCACCGGUGGGGGUCUCCGUGGGGGGCAGCCCCCACGCGGAUCGUGGCCGUGCUGCCCCGGGGUGCCUGGGGGGGGCGGGGAGGUGUGAGGGGGGGGGCUGCUGGUGCCGGGGUCACACCUGGUGUGUGUGCAACGCACAGAGGGCACACGCACCUCAAGGCACGGCAGGGGUGUGCACACACAUGCAUGAUCACAUGCGUGUGCAUUGCUGCGUGCAUGUGGUCUUGCACACCUGCACGCUCACACAUGCUGACACACAUGUGCAGCAUUGUGCAAUGCAUGGUCUUGCACGUGGGCAUGCUUGCACACUCACGCGUGCUCACAUAGGCUCAUGCGCGCUUGCAGAUGUGCACUCACUUCUGCAUCACCACCAGCGUGCAAGGCCUUGCACACGUGCAUACCCCCACACUGGUGCGCCAUCAUCACACACGUGUGGUCUUGCAGACAUGCUUGCUCACCUGUGCACACUCAUGCACCCGUGCAUGGUCUUGCAUGUGCACGUGCUUGCACACUCUCGUGCACGCCCCCCAGCCCCACGAGGCCUCGUGCGAGGUCCUGUGCCCCCCAGCGCCUCCCGGCCACGGGUGCAGGGCCUGGUGCACGCGCAGACUGGCGUGACAGCCCGUGUCCCAGCGUGCCCCGGGACUGGCGUGACGCCCCGUGUCCCGUCGUGCCCCAGGAGCACCCGGGGCCCUUGGCGUGUGGCCCCGUGUCCCAGCGUGCCCCGGGAGCACCGCGGGUGUUGGCGUCACUCCCAGCUUCCCAGUGUGCUCUGGGGCGGGGCGGCGUGACCGGGGAGGCCUCGCACACACGUGUGCAAGGGGCCUGCUGCAGCUCCCCCCCCAGGCCCAUCUGCACCCGGUGUGCAAACCCUUGCACGCGCACAGGGCUGUGGCUCAACGUGCGCUGCUCACCACCGCCUUGCACACGUGUCCCUGUGCAAGCCUGGCACUCACGUGCAAGCCUUGCACUAACCCCCUGGGCAGCCCUUGCACCAACAUUCUGUGUGACCCUUGCACCAAAGCAUCCCCGUGCAACACUUCCACAGCCCCCCCCCCCAACUCUUGCACAGAACC